UUUAAAGGGGCACAAUUAUAUUUUAUUUAUAAAAGAUUUUAUUUAUUUAUUUGACAGAGAGAGAUCACAAAUAGGCAGAGAGGCAGGCAGAGUGAGAGGGGGAAGCAGACUCCCUGCUGAGCAAAGAGCCUGAUGCAGAGCUCGAUCCCAGGACCCUGAGAUCAUGACCUGAGCCGAAGGCAGAGGCUUAACUCACUGAGCCACCCAGUUACCCCUACAGUUAUAUUUUAAAGAAGAUUUUUUGUUAAAAGACACAACUUACUAUCUUUUCCUAAGUAUCUGAGUUAAAAAUCUUUGGGAGUGGCCAAUUGAAUAUAAAUUUAAAAUCCUUCCACAUAAACGAGUUCUGGGAGAUUCUUCUUUAGUUUUUAUUUAUGGUACUGGAUAAAAGAAACAAAACAGACUGUUUCUAGGACAUAAGAGUGGUACAAGAACACAUAAUAAGCUUGAGGUCUUACAAAUUAGAUUGAUUGAACAAAAUACUUUCUGUUUUUAAAUAAAAAUUUCAAGGAAUGCAACAUUUGGGGAAGUGUCUCGAGUAUACCUAAUUAUCAACAAGAAGUUUCUAGGUGUCAGUGGCCAGAAAAAGUUAAUCUGUUUUCCUGCUUCAGUAAUUCCCAUGGAGUAAGAUACUGGAAAAAAUGGCUGAAAGUGUAGAUUUAUAAAGCAGGACUUGUAACAAACAGUUAAUAGGUAAAUGUCCAUUUGACUGUUUAAAAUCUAUGUAUGGAAGGAAUCCUCAUUGCAAAAACAGACAAACAAAAUGUAUAUAAUCCAGAGUGGGUAUAUCACUAUUGUGUGUUCUAAAAAUCCCAUCUUUUUUUUUUUUAAUGCCAAGUAAGACUGACACAUGGAAUUCAUUACAUUCUAGCUAAUGGUUUCAGUCAAAUUUAUAACAGAGCUGAGUAGGCAGCGAGCAUUUCUGGACCUGUGUCUCCAAUCACAGGGAACCCAGAGACACAAGCAUUCACACACAGAGGAAAUUCGGUGCCCAGACUACUGAAGGCUAAUUCCUCUGCCACCUACAUUUUUCACUCCCAUGAAUAAAAUAAGUUGUUUUGUUUUAAAAAAUUAAUUUAGCCUCUGUGAAAGGCCAAAAUAAAGGAUUGGUAGGAUAUAUGAUAUUGUAGGAUAAAUGGUGUUGAUUUUUGUUUUAGCUUUGCACCAUGGUAAGUUCAGAGUAGAGUCUGAUAAAAUGGAAGGAAAACACUAGAUUUCCUGAUUAUGACAUUGCAGGAUAUGCUUUUAAAACAGCUUGUAUGUGGAAGAAAUAAGAAACAGUGAUUUAUUGACACUGGAAGUGAAAAUUUGUGCUCAUUCUUUUUUCGUGCAUUCAAGUAUGAUUUGAAGUUGAUAUUUAUCUAGCUACUUUUUAAAUUCUCAUUUUUAUUUGGAGAAGUUUGUUAAUUUUUCUCCGCUAUUUAACCUAUUUUGUUAACUUCAGUGAACUGAACUGUUGUUUUCUUUGGGAUGUGGAGAUUGGUGAAAAGAACUCUGCGCAAGUGUUGGUUAAAUGUCUUUCUUUUCGCAAGGAUACUUUGAAGAGCAUCAGAGACAAACUUCCUGUAAGCUGUGGAUUCUGUUGGAAGAGCGGUGGGGAAAUUCUUUGCCUGUGUGUGUAGUUUUGGCCUGCAGGGGGCAGCCAAAUGCAGCGAAGCUAAAAGAGCUGGCAUACACCGCCCUGUUUUCAUGCUACCUGAGUAACCCUAGUUCAGGAAAAUGCAGCAAAAGCCAAAGUAAGCACUCCUACCCCAUCUGUCACUGCGUGGAAGAGAGCUGAGGCAGCCAUAUUUAAUCAACACUGAAGUCUCCCCCUGGGUGAUGUUCGUGCCCUUCUGUAAUAUUUUAUUCUAAGUCAUUUCCCAGACAGCAUUAUUGAUUCGUGUCAUUAUUCUCCCCCAAGCUCCGGGAGCUUGUGCAAUGUGAUACCAACUGCAGAUCUCGUCGUGAACAUAACCUCAGAACUGAAAGAUUAUAAAAAACCUGAAGCUGUGUUGGGACAAGGAACUGACAAAAAACUGCUCCCUGUUGCAUCUGGAAUUCAAACUCAUGUCUAUCUGAAUCCAGAGUCCGGAAUCUAAAUAUCAGACUGUGAUAAUGUACAGAGAUGGACAAGCGGAAGAUGACGGUUGCCAGACUGACCCAUUUCUUAGUUUGCAAUCGCUUCCUGAAAAUGUGUUCGGAGCAGUCAUUCUCCAUUGUGGUGGAUUUUGCCUCUCGUGGAAUAUUGGAACCCGUCCGCAGCCUUUGUCCCAACGCUGGGGGAUGGCUCUAUGGGCAUCUAACGGAGGGGCACAGAAACGUAUUGUCUCACGGUUCUGGAAGCUGGAAGUCCAAGACCCUGGUAGCAGCAGGCUUGCUUCUUGCUAAGCUACUUCUCUCAUAGUCCCCCACUGAAGGCGAAGAUGCCAUGUGUUGGGGAAAAUUGGAACCAAAGCACGAAUCUUGGCUGUGCACGUGAUGUGACCUUCGAGGGCGCUUCGCUCGGUGGGCUCUGCGUGGUUGCCUGUCUACCGAGCAGCUGCAGAUGAAACGACUUUUUCAAACCGUGGCAGACAUUUUCUAUGUGGAUUCCUUCGCAGCCAUCACAACCCUUUGGUGGGGAAAAACUCAGUCUUAGCAAGACAAAAUCUCAAGCGAAUUCAAACAUGGUCCAGGUUUCUGAUAGCAUCAACCAGUUUUCUGCCUGAAGUUAUCAGAAGAAAUGACAUGCCCAACAUCCAGCACAAAACUAACCAAACUACAUCUUGGGAAAUCUCUGACAACCACGUCCUCCUUGAGUUUGUUUCUUUGUUUGUUUGUUUAAAUCAUGCAUGGCAUCUGGACUUGUAGCCAUUUGCUUUUGUAGGUUGUUCCUUGUUUAAACAAUAUAUCCACCAGGUCACUAAUCAAUACCUCUUCUCAAAAGAGAAGAGGUAUAGGUUAGUAAUGCAUUAAUUUCUGGAGCUUAAUUAGCUAACAAGGAUAAUUCAUAACGAAUCAAUUCUUGUCAUACAAAAGGCAUGCAGUGGAGACUUCUUCAAGUUCCUGUGGGUUGAAAUUGCACACCCUGGCACGGAUACCUUCACUGGGUGAUAGACGUCAUCAACAUUAUAAGUGGAUAAAUUCAUUUUCCUCCUCUAAGUACAACCCCAUAUUGUGCAUUGAUGCUUGAUUGAUGCAUUGAGGAAUGGAGAAUAAACAAAAACCCCAAUAAAUUA
This is a long non-coding RNA of Mustela lutreola (European mink), 3200 nucleotides long. RefSeq lists it as uncharacterized. NCBI's taxonomy places the organism in Eukaryota, Metazoa, Chordata, Mammalia, Carnivora, Mustelidae. The transcript has 6 exons. The record is from RefSeq and is a predicted model, not a curated record.